UCAACCUUCAAACUCCGUGUUUGGCGUUGGGCCUACGUCGCGCCCCCGUGUGCGACCGGCUCCAAAGACAAUGACGGCGUCCGUGGGACCCUCGGUGCAACGAGCUUUUCCAAAGCACGCGUCGAAGCGGAUCUGCGGGGGCCGGUCUCCUGAUGUUUACACAUCACUUCUCA
This 173-nucleotide unclassified non-coding RNA is filed under the name uncultured fungus. Its description in RNAcentral is "sequence contains ITS2". Lineage: Eukaryota; Fungi. The record is from RNAcentral.